GUGGCAUAACGUUUGAAUGGCAAUGGGUCAAACGGGUGAUAAAGCAACAACAUUCCUACGGGCAAAGGUGAUAAGUCAUGAAAAUCAACGGGGUGACUUGAACCAGAAUCAUGAAAGAAGAAAACAUCUCACAAGUCAUUCACCAAUAAUUCGAUUCGGGUGGUAGGAAGGCGAAAGUGAUCAAGUUUUUGAAGCGGGUCAACGAUAUGAAGAUUUAGUGAUGCCUUGUUCACUAAGUAAUAUGGGUUUUCUUAUUGGGUCAACUUGACUUAGUUAGUUGCAUUUUAGAGUUUAACUUUAAUGUUUAUUUUAGCCAAGUGCUAGUAUGUCAAUGUAGUAGUGGGUUAUAUUUGUUUUAUAAAAACCUUGGUUAAUAAGCAGGUAUUGUUUUCGUAAGGAUUGGUCGUGAUGCAAACGGGUCAUGGCGAAAUUUUCUAAAAGUGUGUUUGUAAUUAUUUUAUUAAUCCGAUUAUGUGGAUUAAUAGA
Molecule: long non-coding RNA, 486 nt
Organism: Helianthus annuus (common sunflower)
Lineage: Eukaryota; Viridiplantae; Streptophyta; Magnoliopsida; Asterales; Asteraceae
Exons: 3
Source: RefSeq, a predicted model, not a curated record